CCUACGGGAGGCAGCAGUGAGGAAUAUUGGUCAAUGGACGCAAGUCUGAACCAGCCAUGCCGCGUGCAGGAAGACGGCUCUAUGAGUUGUAAACUGCUUUUGUACUAGGGUAAUUUGCGGUACGUGUACCGUAUUGAAAGUAUAGUACGAAUAAGGAUCGGCUAACUCCGUGCCAGCAGCCGCGGUAAUACGGAGGAUCCGAGCGUUAUCCGGAUUUAUUGGGUUUAAAGGGAGCGUAGGCGGAUUGUUAAGUCAGUUGUGAAAGUUUGCGGCUCAACCGUAAAAUUGCAGUUGAUACUGGCAGUCUUGAGUGCAGUAGAGGUAGGCGGAAUUCCCGGUGUAGCGGUGGAAUGCGUAGAUAUCGGGAGGAACACCAGUGGCGAAGGCGGCCUACUGGGCACCAACUGACGCUGAGGCUCGAAAG
RNAcentral lists this ribosomal RNA (424 nucleotides) under uncultured Parasutterella sp. Its description in RNAcentral is "bacterial SSU rRNA". It matches the Rfam family "Bacterial small subunit ribosomal RNA", at positions 338 to 759 of the family's 1533-position model. Lineage: Bacteria; Pseudomonadati; Pseudomonadota; Betaproteobacteria; Burkholderiales; Sutterellaceae. The record is from RNAcentral.